UGGCCGGGACUGUUGGUGACGCGCAUUCGACAAAGCAGCCUAAGUAUAACAUUAGAGCAUGACAUCCUUUGAUGCAUGGUAGACAAAGGAUGAGAGGGACAUAUGUUGCUCUUCCAGCUCGCGUCUUCCAAAAUGAGGUGCAGAGUCGGAAGGGGGAGGCCUUGGUGACCAUGCAAAUGCAAGGUAAAUUGGUUUGACCCGCACAACAAAUAUGGAGGUCUUAGCAUCCUAGACAUAUGCCCCGUUUGUCAAAGUAUUGCACCUGCGUUACCAAUGGCAUUCCUAGAACUAUAACAAGUCAGGGGUGGGGGAAUGGAGAUGGCAUGACAUGGAUCAUUGGCUAUUUAGUAUGGUAACUACAAACACCAACAGAAAAGGUAGGCUCUUUUCUGGAACUCUGCAUUAUAUGGCUGCUGGGUGACACAUUGAAAGACAUAAGGCAAUGAUCAUUCUUUUUACCAUUCCAAAGAUGACAAUCGGUGUAUUUGUGCCACUUUCAUCAUGACAAUCAACCUUGCAUUCCUUAUUCUACAUAUAGCAAUCAAAUUUGGCAAUGGAUAUGGCAAUGAAAAAUCAGUUGCUUGCCAUAUGCGGGGACCAAUAGAACAACUAUAUCAGGACAUCAUCCCUGGUCCCUAGGUGGUAGCGGGAGGUUUCUAUGUUUCUGAUAGAAUGUAUGUAGGGACAGUAUGACCCAAUAGCGGAGCUAGAAACAUUUAGGAGGCCAGACGAUUCUCACAAUGCAGAAAUAUUAUCUAAAAAUACAUAGUGUUUCUCUUUGAUACAAACAAAAAAAAUCCUUUAAACUUUGCCGACGAGCCCGGGUGGCCUCCCAGGGUCACCAGUCAGUGGCUCCCGCACUGAUUUGACCCAUGAUUUUUUUAUCACUUUGGCAGCUUUGGUGAGAGUGCAAUGCUCCACCUGGGAAAUCCUUAUUUGUAUAGAUUAAUACGGAAAAAAUAAAAACUGCUUGGUUCUCAGCGGAGCAAGACAAUUUAGGAAACCAUUAUGUAGAUUAGCCUAAUUGAGGCCAUCAGGCCAUUUGUUUCAUCUCUUAUGUACUCCCAGC
This 1069-nucleotide long non-coding RNA is filed under the name Sorghum bicolor (sorghum). RNAcentral describes it as "long non-coding RNA (SBIC_LNC002119)". The record is from RNAcentral. Lineage: Eukaryota; Viridiplantae; Streptophyta; Magnoliopsida; Poales; Poaceae.